AUUACAACAGCUAUGGUUUACUUGGAACAUCCGCUCUGCGGAUAUCCGUGGAAAUUCUACAGUUAAUACGUAUCAUUUCCUUCGGGGGUGUUGCAUAUUGUCGUGAAUGACCGUCGGGGUAACCCGUCUUACUUGAACACUUUUAUGCGCGAAUCGUGUGUCAACACGAGGGUCCAUCAAAGCUUCUGACCUAUCAGGUUUCGACGGUUGGGUAUUGGCCAACUGUGCCUAUAACGGGUAACGGGGGAUUAGGGUUUGAUUCCGGAGAGGGAGCUUGAGAGAUGGCUACCACAUCUAAGGAGGGCAGCAGGCGCGCAAAUUACCUAUCCCUGAUCCAGGGAGGUAGUAAACAGAAAUAAUGACGCGCAGUAUCUAUUGUGCGAUCGGAAUGAAUAGCUUCUAAACAGAGUUGUGAAAUUCAUUGGAGGGCAAGUCUGGUGCCAGCAGCCGCGGUAAUUCCAGCUCCAAUAGCGUAUAUUAAAUUUGUUGCAGUUAAAAUGUUCGUAGUCGUUCUUUUUCUGCUUGGUCGUUUGGCACCUAAGGUGUUACAAGUGCUUAAAGCGGAGAUUGUGCAGUCUCCUCACGUUUUUACGGAAGGCUGGCUGUAUCGUAUUUUGAGUGAAUCGGCGUGUUCCGCGCAGGCGAAUGCCGUGAACGAUUUACCAUAGUAUAACCAGGAUAUGAUGGUACCCCUUUGUUUGCUCGGGGGUGCUUUCUAACACGACAAGAACGGUUGAGGGCAUUUGUAUUCAACUGCCAGAGGUGAAAUUCUUUGAUUAGUUGAGGACAAACUACGGCGAAAGCAUUUGCUAAGGACGUUUCUAUUGAUCAAGAACGAAAGUUGGGUGAUCGAAGAUGAUUAGAUACCGUCGUAGUCCUAACUAUAAACUUUGCUAUCCAAGAAGUGGAUAGGUUUUAUUAUAUCUUUUCAGUUCCUUUUGAGUAAUCACGAGACUCUGAGUUCUGGGGGGAGUAUAGUCGCAAGGCCGAAACUUAAAGGAAUUGACGGAAGGGCACCACCAGGGGUGGAGCUUGCGGCUUAAUUUGACUCAACACUGAAAAUCUUACUAGAACAAGACAUAAGGAUGAUUGACAGAUUGAUCGCUCUUUCUUGAUUUUGUGGGUGGUGGUGCAUGGCCGUUCUUAGUUCGUGGAGUAAUUUGUCAGGUUAAUUCCGUUAACGAACGAGACUUUGAUUUGCUAAUUAGGGUUCUUUAUUGAUAAUGUUCCCUUUUAGAAGGACCAUGUGUGUUUAAUGCGAGGAAGCGCGAAGCAAUAACAGGUCUGUGAUGCCCUUAGAUGUUCUAGGCAGCACGCGUGCUACAUUGAUGCAUACAAUGUGUGAUGCGUUCCGAAAGGACGGUAAAAUCAUUAAUUUGCAUCAACUUAGGGAUUAUUUGUUGAAAUGUCAAGUAUUAACGAGGAAUCCCUAGUAAGCAUGUAUCAUCAGUUCGCGUUGACUAUGUCCCUGCCCUUUGUACACACCGCCCGUCGCACCUAAGGAUUAGGUUAUGUCAUAAGCGUGACAGAGGCAAAUUAAAAGAUGCAAAUGUUUUUUUUGCUAAAUUCAUGUAAAUGUUGUGUCCCAGACUCAGGUAAAGUCGUAACACGGUUAUC
RNAcentral lists this ribosomal RNA (1617 nucleotides) under uncultured eukaryote. RNAcentral's name for it is "SSU rRNA". It matches the Rfam family "Eukaryotic small subunit ribosomal RNA". The record is from RNAcentral.